Molecule: ribosomal RNA, 440 nt
Filed under: uncultured bacterium
Lineage: Bacteria
Description: partial 16S ribosomal RNA
Rfam family: Bacterial small subunit ribosomal RNA
Source: RNAcentral
CCUACGGGUGGCUGCAGUGAGGAAUAUUGGGCAAUGGGGGCAACCCUGACCCAGCCAUGCCGCGUGAGUGAAGAAGGUCUUCGGAUUGUAAAGCUCUUUCGGACGUGACGAUGAUGACGGUAGCGUCUAAAGAAGCACCGGCAAACUUCGUGCCAGCAGCCGCGGUAAUACGAAGGGUGCGAGCGUUGUUCGGAAUUACUGGGCGUAAAGGGAGCGUAGACGGCGAGGUAAGCCUGAAGUGGAAGCCCGCGGCCCAACCGCGGAACUGCUUUGGGAACUGUUUUGCUGGAGUAUGGGAGGGGUAAGCGGAAUUCCUGGUGUAGCGGUGAAAUGCGUAGAUAUCAGGAGGAACACCGGUGGCGAAGGCGGCUUACUGGACCAUAACUGACGUUGAGGCUCGAAAGCGUGGGGAGCGAACAGGAUUAGAUACCCGUGUAGUC